CGAGGAAUAUUGCGCAAUGGGGGCAACCCUGACGCAGCAACGCCGCGUGAGUGAGGAAGGUUUUCGGACCGUAAAGCUCUGUCGAGCGGGAAGAAAUGCAUGCUGGCUAAUAUCCAUCAUGCUUGACGGUACCGCUAGAGGAAGCACCGGCUAACUCCGUGCCAGCAGCCGCGGUAAUACGGGGGGUGCAAGCGUUGUUCGGAAUUAUUGGGCGUAAAGAGCGUGUAGGCGGUUGGACAAGUCAGAUGUGAAAGCCCUGGGCUUAACUCAGGAAGUGCAUUUGAAACUGUUCAGCUGGAGUAAGGGAGAGGAAAGUGGAAUUCCUGGUGUAGAGGUGAAAUUCGUAGAUAUCAGGAGGAACACCGGUGGCGAAGGCGACUUUCUGGCCCUAUACUGACGCUGAGACGCGAGAGCGUGGGUAGCAAACAG
Molecule: ribosomal RNA, 429 nt
Filed under: uncultured bacterium
Lineage: Bacteria
Description: bacterial SSU rRNA
Rfam family: Bacterial small subunit ribosomal RNA
Source: RNAcentral